This 255-nucleotide long non-coding RNA is filed under the name Elaeis guineensis (African oil palm). Its description in RNAcentral is "long non-coding RNA (EGUI_LNC009586)". The record is from RNAcentral. Lineage: Eukaryota; Viridiplantae; Streptophyta; Magnoliopsida; Arecales; Arecaceae.
AUAUAUGUAUGUAUAUAUAUACAUAUAUAUAUAUGUAUAUACAUAUAUAUAUGUAUAUAUGUACAUAUAUACAUGUAUAUAUAUACUUAUUGUUGGGUAUAAAAUAACUUCCGUCGAAGUUCAUAAGAGGCCGACCCUCUCAGGGUUCUUCCGGCUUCCGACUUUGUGUGGCGUCUUUCUGAACCUCUCCGGCCGUCCGAGCUUCCAUAAUACCAUCCGGACUCCUCCAAUAGUCGGCCUUCCAUAGUGUCCUCC